CCUACGGGGCUGCAGUGGGGAAUAUUGCACAAUGGGCGCAAGCCUGAUGCAGCCAUGCCGCGUGUGUGAAGAAGGCCUUCGGGUUGUAAAGCACUUUCAGCGGGGAGGAAGGCGUUAAGGUUAAUAACCUUGGCGAUUGACGUUACCCGCAGAAGAAGCACCGGCUAACUCCGUGCCAGCAGCCGCGGUAAUACGGAGGGUGCAAGCGUUAAUCGGAAUUACUGGGCGUAAAGCGCACGCAGGCGGUCUGUCAAGGCGGAUGUGAAAUCCCCGGGCUCAACCUGGGAACUGCAUUCGAAACUGGCAGGCUAGAGUCUUGUAGAGGGGGGUAGAAUUCCAGGUGUAGCGGUGAAAUGCGUAGAGAUCUGGAGGAAUACCGGUGGCGAAGGCGGCCCCCUGGACAAAGACUGACGCUCAGGUGCGAAAGCGUGGGGAGCAAACAGGAUUAGAUACCCGAGUAGUC
Molecule: ribosomal RNA, 463 nt
Filed under: uncultured Klebsiella sp.
Lineage: Bacteria; Pseudomonadati; Pseudomonadota; Gammaproteobacteria; Enterobacterales; Enterobacteriaceae
Description: bacterial SSU rRNA
Rfam family: Bacterial small subunit ribosomal RNA
Source: RNAcentral